CAGGGUGUGGCGCAGCCUGGUUUAGCGCGUGUGUCUGGGGGGCACAAGGUCGGAGGUUCAAAUCCUCUCACCCUGA
This 76-nucleotide transfer RNA is filed under the name Chlamydiae bacterium RIFCSPHIGHO2_12_FULL_49_11. RNAcentral's name for it is "tRNA-Pro". It matches the Rfam family "tRNA". From Rfam's summary of the family: Transfer RNA (tRNA) molecules are approximately 80 nucleotides in length. Their secondary structure includes four short double-helical elements and three loops (D, anti-codon, and T loops). Lineage: Bacteria; Pseudomonadati; Chlamydiota. The record is from RNAcentral.